This 6693-nucleotide long non-coding RNA is filed under the name Cicer arietinum (chickpea). Its description in RNAcentral is "long non-coding RNA (CARI_LNC002258)". The record is from RNAcentral. Lineage: Eukaryota; Viridiplantae; Streptophyta; Magnoliopsida; Fabales; Fabaceae.
CCAAAACUAAGCCGUAGCCACUCAAUAAAAUAUUUUUGUAAAAGAUAUAAGUUGCGUCAUACAGUCAUGAGACUUGCACUGAACACUGUUCAUUUACACCAUAUUGAGAAAUCUUUAACUUUCAGCAAACUAAGUAAUAUUCACAUCAAAUUGCAUCUGUUGGUAAAAUGGGCAUAAAAACUUCAGCUAUAGAACAAUAAAGUUGUAAUUUUCAGAUGAGGUCAAAUUUUGAAGGUAUAUAAGAAGGAAACCUCGACGUUAUUUGGUAUAAUAUUUCUGACAGAUCAAGCUUCUGCGCAAAACUUAUCUGCAUUGUGGCAAAUCCAAUCAGAAUAGGUUCAAGAAGACCAACAAGGCAGCUUUUGAUCUCUACCCCCUUCUUCUGUCUUGGAUUUAUUUCUGUAGGGCUAGCGAGCAACAAUCUGUCAUUCAAAGCCCCAACCAAGACUGGAAAAUAAAUUCAUAUAAAUAGAUUAGUAAGACAACAGAUGGAUAAGAUAUUAUGACAUCCUAGUAUGCAGCAAGAAAAUUACCUGCAUAUGGCAUAUUGAUUGAUAGGACAGGCCUCACUUUUCCAUCCCAACCAAGUAUACUGAUGGCAGUAGUAGUAGAGAAAAGAAGGGCAGGCCCAACCCACAAGAGAGAUCUAAAGUGAGCUCAAGUUAAGAUUUCAAAAAAGAGAAUAUAUGCAAUGCAAGAAAUUUAAUGCGAAUAAAUGGUUUCUUGAUAUCAAAAAGAUAAAAUUCAAAGGAUAUUGAAGGAAGUCCCUUAUCAAAAUUUGUAGAAGUUCCCGAAAGCAUAUCAAGUGUCGCCGAAACGAUAAGGACUCUGUGUGUUGUUAAAAUUCCAGCGACAUGUCCCCUUAGUGUUUCUUGCCAGUGCACCUGUCAAAUUUGAAGAAACAUGGAUUAAUAAAGUUAUGUAUUUUAGCUCCACAAACAAGGAGUCCUAUAACAAAUGUCUUUUGCCCGAGCCAUUAUCGAUGAAGGACUCUAAGGGACGAAGAAACAAGCUCUAAACAUAUUUGCUCCUUGUUGUUCCAAUUGGAAACAGCAGUAUUUAAAAUCUUACGUUCAUGUGUACACAUGUACAAUGAUUAUAACAUUCAUGCACUGAAGAAGUUGCACUUCAAUUAACUUUAUUUGUAAACACUUAGAAUUUGAGUUUGGGCUUAACUCAACACCAAAAUCUAGCACAUGGGGUGAAUGUUGUCCCCAACCUAUAACCACUAUUCAGGCCACAUCACUAUCCAAUGUGGGAAUACAACAUCCCUCCGACACUUGAGCGCAAGACUGGAAAGCGUGAAGUUUGCAAAACUCAGUGAUGUUAAAUAGCUGCUAUUGCAUAGCAGGAUUUGGGAAAAACACUACAAAAUCCGAUACGCUAUGACUGUUCCGCUACCACCACAAUAAUGGCAACUAUUCCCAUGGCGGCGAUGGCGGAAAAAAGGAGUUUUAUGGUUUUUUUUAAUGAAAACACUAAAAAAGAAGCAUGUGAACCACUUCAAAAAAAUUCAAAAAGAAUAACUGAAGAAAAGAGUUGUUGUGGAUUGACUCUAGUGAGUUCCUUCUCAUGUAACAGAGCUACGUUUUUUCGGUUUCUUUUUUCUUCUAUUCCUCGGUUUUUUUAUUUUUCCUUUUCAUUCACCUCUUUUUAUCAGUCUUAUUUUUGUUCAUCUCAUUUCUUUUAUUUUUUUCCUUUCUACUCUUUUAAGUUUUUUUGGAUUCUUUCAUCUAUCCUUCUUAUAUUUAUUUUUUUUCUAAUUAUUUCCUUUCCAUUCUCUUUCCCAAUUUAAUUUAUUUCUUCUCUUCCUCUGUGAUUCUUUCAGCCCUGUGUUUUUUUUUUAUUAUUUCAUCCCCUCUAGUUAAUGUUAUGUCACUUUUUCUUUUAAUUUAUGUUUAUGCAGCUUUUUUUUAUCUGUAUGCAUCAUUAAUUUAUUUAUAUAUAAUUGAUUUAUUUCAACUGUUAAACGGCUCAUGCUAUUUUCCAGCAACGCUAUCCGCUAUUUCUCAUAGCCGAUUUUUUGUUUUUCGCUAUUUUCCGCAAUCCUCUAUUGAUAACAUUGGCAAAAUUAGACAUUUGCAGGUGUUAGAAUGGAUUUUAUAGAUUUUGAUAGCAUCUAAGAAUUUGGGUUUGGGCAUGUCAACCCCAAAAUCUAGCGAAGUUGCCCUCCACUGAUACCCAUAUUCAAGCCAUAUCAUAUCAAUAUCAAAUGUGGGACUCCGACAUGAACAAAACAUGCGAUUAGUUAGAAGUGUAUAAUAAUUCAGCUGAGUGCUAAUCACAACAAAAACAUUUUGCCAAUGGAUUUAUAGAUUUUGAUAGCAUCUAAGAAUUUGGGUUUGGGCAUGUCAACCCCAAAAUCUAGCGAAGUUGCCCUCCACUGAUACCCAUAUUCAAGCCUAAAUACACACCAAUAUGAUCUACAAUAAUGGAUGGAAUCGUACCAUCAUCAGUCUUCAUGUAUGGUGUCACCUCUGCAGCAAGCUCCCAUUGAGGUAUAUCCUUCACAGUGGUUGGGGUUUUGAUUUCCCAGUUUCCACCACCCCAUUCAGGUCCUUUUGGAACCAUACUCUCAGCAGCAAAGUUGGCAAAUAUACCUUGUGUCCAUCCAGUAGAUCGAACUCGUAAUAUCCUUUCACAAUAUCGCCUCAAUUCUGAGUCAAGGCUGUCUUCUUCCAAUUUCUGAGCAAGACGCCGCAUGGCACUGGGAUUAAGGUGGCAUAUAAACAGAUCAAGCAUGCCUUCAUAGUCUGCUAUAACUUCAAAUGUUUCUUUUGCACUAUCAAAUUGACCAAACCUGCAAGUGAUAUUAAAUUACAAAAGUAACUACAAACUUGUAUUAUAUCAUAUUAAUAACUACAGUACCACUACAAACCACACAACAAAAGAUCAAUUGUAUGAGCUCCAAGUUCCAACACUAUAGUUGAUACAUGAGAGCUAUAAAUCAAUGAAAGGAAAAUAGUCGGUCAAAGCUGACUUGACCCAUUGUACCAUUGUACAUGGCGAGAAGCAUUGACAAUGAAAAUAUACAGAUUCAUUACAAAAUAUGAAGAGAAAUAUGAAGAUGAAUGUAUUAUUCAUUACAAAAAAUUAGGAGAAACACAGAUAACCAGAGCGAUGCUCCAACUCCCCCUCUAAAAUAAUCCUCUACUACAUGGUCCUCCCCAUAACAAACUGUCACCGGGUGCUAUGGUAGAGGAUCUAAUUAAUCACUUCUUGCAGGUUUUCCUUUUGAAGGUAUUAUUAGUAAUUGGAUCCCAAGAAGGUCCAUAGUCAUUGGCGCUUAUCUAUAAUUUUGGAAACCAUCAAGGCCAAGGUUGUGAUAUAGGUAUCGACAAGAGUGGAACAAUGUGAGAAGAAACUUUACUAUGAUUGCACACUCACUUAUGUCGUUGCAUUCUCACUCCACCCAAUAAUAGGUCACAAUCAUGGAAUUAACACACUUUUUAACACACUCUUUGAUUGGUUAUGUUAAAAUUCAAUGUAUGUUUUAAUUUAUUCCUUGAUUGUGCAACAUCCUAGGCUAAUUGUUAGUAGUCCUAGUCAAUACAAUUUCCUAGACAUUGAAUGUAAUUAUUGCAGCAUCAUUAUAAAUAGAAAGGAUGUGAUCUCAUUAGAGAAACAAGAAACAUAGACUUUACACAUAAAUUUACACAAACACUUCACCUAAUAUUUUACAUGGUAUCAGAGUAGCUUUUGAUUUUGUGACCUGUUUUUGUGCUUCACUACCACUGCCGACAAUACCACCUUUCAAUCUUUUAAUUUUUUGCCACAAACAGUUGUUCAUCAUCGUCAACUUCGGCAGCCCUACCCUGUCUUCUCUGCAUUUUCCAGCUGCGCCAUAACCAGAGUUUUUUUCCGUGUAGUUAUGUGCUUAUUUACACUGUUACAGCUGUGCUAACACAAGCUGCACUUUUUCCAAUGCGACCCACUGCCUAAAACCACCACAGACUGCUGCACAAUCCUCUGACGAACACAACGGUGCUCCUGGCGUUAACCGACACAGCACACGCCAUCACACGCAUCCACCUUCUCUACACGUGGGUGUCACAUCGCCAUCAAACCCACGCGUGCAUCUGUCUCUGUCCACCAUAUUUCAUUGCCAGUUGUUGCAAACUCCCCCUCAAACUAAAACUUACUACGCGCUAGUGGAUUGAUUUUUCAUCAACCUCUUAUCUUUCAAUUCCCCCUUCCGCAUUGUAUCUGCUGCUGUGAGAACUUAGUUUCGUGGACAAGGGACCAUUUGCUCAGACAAUCAUUUUAUUCCCACCGACGAUCAAUCCAGUGGUGACUCUAUCCGCACAUACGAAUCAAAUGAGUGGCGCCUUUUAUUCUAGCCGACGAUAAAUCUGGUGGUAACUCUAUUCCCACAUAUGAAUCAUAUUAGUGGCGCGUUUUAUUUCCACCGAUGACUCUUUUGCACUUGAAUUGUUAAUGGUGCCUUCUCUUCUCAAACUUGUCCAACAGUUGUCAACUUUAGCUUCAUUUUUUUUUUGGGAUAAAAUGUUUUGAUGUAACAAGCUUAAAGCAUAGUAUGCUUUAGCUUGACGAGAAGUGUUAAAAUUCCGUAUAUGUUCUAAUUAUUCCUUGAUUGUGCAACAUCCUAGGCUAAUUGUUAGUAGUCCUAGUCAAUACAAUUUCCUAGGCAUUGAAUGUAAUUAUUGCAGCAUCAUUAUAAAUAAGAAGGUGUGUGAUCUCACUAGAGACACAAAAAACACAAAAAUUUACACAUAAAUUACUCAUAUUUUACAAGUUAAAGUCCAAACGGGUCCCACCAAAUUCAUAUGAGGCCCACAUGAUAUAGUGGACUUAUGUGAAUUUAAACUAAUUAAAGAGUGUUAGAAAGUGUGUGUUACUAGAACUCCUCUAUGAUCUAUUGUAAGAUCCAACAGCCACUAAAAAAUUAAUAAAUAAAAACUACGAUUUUCUUGUCAAGUAUAAUAUAGUUAUAUAAUCUAAUGGUUGGUAUUAGAAAAUAAAACUUAAACAUAUUAAUGUAGACAUUAAAAGGUUUUGGAACAAGAAAUAGUUUAAGCAAAUAUGUAGUAAAAGGAACAUGCAUCAUAUGCAUAAUGACAUUUCCUAGUUUGUCUACCUGAUACACGCAUAAGCCAACUGCCUGAACCGGUGAAACAAAUGAGAUGUGGGAGGACAUCUUGGAUAAUCUCUGGAACGCAGAAAUUCAUCUUUCAGAACAGAUAAAGCAGUGGAAAAACGAAGAGCUUUCACAGCAUAGACACCUCGCAUCACCUGAGAUCAGAUUUUCAACAUGUUCAGUAGUUCAGAGAGUCCAAUGCAAAAUUAUUAAGACUGCAUCCAAAUGCUUACCUGGGUGAACUGUGGACCUGAUUGUGAUAAAGAGACAGCUAAAUCUCCACAAACCGGAGAUCCUCUUGCAAGGAUAUCCAGAGACCUUGGUGUUAUGCGCAAGCUGUCGAACCUUCAAUCGGAUACAAAUUUAAUGUGUCAAUCUUAUCAGCUUCAGUAUACAUUUAAUUAACUCUUCAAGACUAAAGCUGGACUUCUGCCCAAGGAAGCAAUUUGACGAGUAUGCUACCAGUUUGGUGCAAGUUGCAUAUUAUUUCCAAAUAUGGUGUAAAUUGAAUCUAGUUUGAUGCAAAUUGUGGCUGCAUUACACAACUUAGUUUUGGAUCUUGUUUAAUAACAAAUUGAAUCUAGUUUAAUAGUUUUUUAUUUAAGUGGUUGCCAAGAUACGUAUAAGAGAGGUAUUUUGUCAAUGAGCAUGAGUGGAUUGGCUUGUCGAUAGCAUGGAGUUACAUGGAGUGGUAUGAGUGACAAUAUAUCUUGUGAUUUAUGAGGAGCAUAUAUUUCCAAUUUAAAACUACGCAGUGAUUAGGUAGCCAAGAUUAUCAUAAUAUUAGGGGAAAAAGGACUUGUGGCCACAGGACACAACUAUAAAACUACAUAACAAGAAACCCAAACCAAAAGAAUGGCUCAUGGCCACUUUAUUCAUGUGGUAAUAUCAAAACGGAUCAUACCAACAUAAAAACACAUGUGUUUGAGUAAUGAAAGUGAACUAUGUCUCGCUAGGGCAGGGCAUGAUUUAUAACCUACGGGAAGAGGGACAACUGACAAGCUCCCCAUUUACCUUCCAUUGUUGAAAGAGUUUGGAGCCUGGAGCUAACUCUACUCAUUUAUGGCAUAGGUAGAUGCCACCUCAACUCUAUCUAAUGAUUGAAAGCUUAAAAAAAGCACAACAUUAGUAAGAAAAUAUGUAAACAAAAAAGAGGUGAGCCAAAACUAAGCCGUAGCCACUCAAUAAAAUAUUUUUGUAAAAGAUAUAAGUUGCGUCAUACAGUCAUGAGACUUGCACUGAACACUGUUCAUUUACACCAUAUUGAGAAAUCUUUAACUUUCAGCAAACUAAGUAAUAUUCACAUCAAAUUGCAUCUGUUGGUAAAAUGGGCAUAAAAACUUCAGCUAUAGAACAAUAAAGUUGUAAUUUUCAGAUGAGGUCAAAUUUUGAAGGUAUAUAAGAAGGAAACCUCGACGUUAUUUGGUAUAAUAUUUCUGACAGAUCAAGCUUCUGCGCAAAACUUAUCUGCAUUGUGGCAAAUCCAAUCAGAAUAGGUUCAAGAAGACCAACAAGGCAGCUUUUGAUCUCUACCCCCUUCUUCUGUCUUGGAUUUAUUUCUGUAGGGCUAGCGAGCAACAAUCUGUCAUUCAAAG